UGUGCUAAAAUCUGAAACUAUUAUUAUUAUUAUUAAGAUACAGAAAAUUUUUUUUUCUCAAACGCGUGAUAAUGCUAAUAAAAUAGCCUGAUCAGGAUAAAUUAUCCAUACAUUGCAGAAAAAUACGUUACCGACCAGCCAUGAGACUCAUGACUGGCCGGUAACGUAUUUUUCUACAAUGUAUGGAUAAUUUAUCCUGAUCACGCUAUUUUAUUAGCAUUAUCACGCAUUUGAGAAUAAAAAAAUUA
Octopus sinensis (East Asian common octopus) is the source of this 248-nucleotide long non-coding RNA. RefSeq lists it as uncharacterized. Lineage: Eukaryota; Metazoa; Mollusca; Cephalopoda; Octopoda; Octopodidae. The record is from RefSeq and is a predicted model, not a curated record. The transcript is spliced from 3 exons.